Molecule: ribosomal RNA, 256 nt
Filed under: uncultured bacterium
Lineage: Bacteria
Description: partial 16S ribosomal RNA
Rfam family: Bacterial small subunit ribosomal RNA
Source: RNAcentral
UAAGACGAACUGUGCAAACGUUAUUCGGAAUCACUGGGCUUGAAGAGUGCGUAGGCGGUUUUGUAAGUAGGGUGUGAAAGCCCCCGGCCCAACCGGGGAAUUGCGCCCUAAACUGCAAGGCUGGAGUGAGGUAGGGGUGUGUGGAACUUCUAGUGGAGCGGUGAAAUGUGUUGAUAUUAGAAGGAACGCCGGUGGCGAAAGCGACACACUGGACCUUGUCUGACGCUGAGGCACGAAAGCCAGGGGAGCAAACGGG